CAGACGGCUGUACUCCUAUUUCUACCUGCCAGAUGAGACACGGAUAACAGCCCGUCCUUGCUGUGUAUUUCUUCCAACUUUCUUCAUUACUUGAAUCAUCAGAUGAUUCCCACCAGGAAAGGACCCUUUCACAGCCGUUCGGUUGCUCGCACUGCUGGAAACUUUGCCUGCAAUUUCUCGGCUUUAAAAUUUCAGUCAUUGUUUCUGGUCGUGUGUGUGAUGUGCAUUCCCAUCUGAAAUAGCAAGGAGACCCACAGUGAAGAUUGUAUAGAUAUUUUUUUUCUUGUUGGUGUUUUUUUUUUCUUUCUUUUUUUUAAAUAAAAAUCAGCUCAGAUUCUGCACCAUGUUUGUUCACUGUUGGUUUUAUGAUGGUAAAUUGUCCCUGGAAGGUACAAAACAGCAGCCACAUGGCGGUAGGCCUCAUCAUCAUCUUUUUAUAGAUCUACUAACCUAGAGCACUAUUUUGCAUUGUUGAAGCUUUUUAUUAAAACUAGAAGACUAGUGAUGUAUGAAACUGGAAUCCUAUCUGGUCUCAGUGGCAGCAGAACUUUUUGUAUGCAGAGAUGUUAAAACUAAAGUAGUUCAGUUGUCAAAUCCCACAGGAGGGCAAGGCAGUGGUGUUACCACAUGCACACACGCCUCUAGUAAUGUCAGGUAUGUUGGUGAACCAGCUCCACUUAUUUGUUCUUAGAUGAUGGGCGUUAACUCUGUACUUUCCUUGUGUGGUGGCUCAUUUUAAUUAAAAAUGCAUGCAGACAUGGGAGGAAAAAAAAAACUUGAAGCUUAGGAUGGGAGUAAGAAAGGAAACGAUUUGCACACAUUUACAUAUAUUGAUGCUUGAAAUAGAUGUUUUAAAUCUUAUUAAAGGCUUGUUUUAAUGUAUUGUAAAUGUUGCAAUUUUCUUUUUUUGUAAUUGUUAUAAAUUCCCUGUUACGUA
This is a long non-coding RNA of Cyprinodon tularosa, 937 nucleotides long. RefSeq lists it as uncharacterized. The record is from RefSeq and is a predicted model, not a curated record. NCBI's taxonomy places the organism in Eukaryota, Metazoa, Chordata, Actinopteri, Cyprinodontiformes, Cyprinodontidae. The transcript is spliced from 2 exons.